Molecule: ribosomal RNA, 500 nt
Filed under: uncultured bacterium
Lineage: Bacteria
Description: partial 16S ribosomal RNA
Rfam family: Bacterial small subunit ribosomal RNA
Source: RNAcentral
AUUGAACGCUGGCGGAAUGCUUUACACAUGCAAGUCGAACGGCAGCACGGACUUCGGUCUGGUGGCGAGUGGCGAACGGGUGAGUAAUGUAUCGGAACGUGCCCAGUCGUGGGGGAUAACGUAGUGAAAAUUACGCUAAUACCGCAUACGAUCUAUGGAUGAAAGCGGGGGAUCGCAAGACCUCGCGCGAUUGGAGCGGCCGAUAUCAGAUUAGGUAGUUGGUGGGGUAAAGGCCCACCAAGCCAACGAUCUGUAGCUGGUCUGAGAGGACGACCAGCCACACUGGAACUGAGACACGGUACAAACUCCUACGGGAGGCAGCAGUGGGGAAUUUUGGACAAUGGGCGAAAGCCUGAUCCAGCCAUUCCGCGUGCAGGAUUAAGGCCCUCGGGUUGUAAACUGCUUUUGUACAGAACGAAAAGGUUUCUACUAAUACUAGGAGCUCAUGACGGUACUGUAAGAAUAAGCACCGGCUAACUACGUGCCAGCCGCCGCCGUAA